ACGCUCGACACCUACGGGGGCAGCAGUUGGGAAUAUUGGACAAUGGAGGAAACUCUGAUCCAGUGACGCCGCGUGAAGGAAGAAGGUCUUCGGAUUGUAAACUUAUUUUGUCAGGGAAGAAAAAUGACUGUACCUGAAGAAAAAGCACCGGCUAACUACGUGCUAGCAGCCGCGGUAAUCUGAGCGGGCUGGCAAGGC
This 198-nucleotide ribosomal RNA is filed under the name uncultured bacterium. RNAcentral describes it as "partial 16S ribosomal RNA". It matches the Rfam family "Bacterial small subunit ribosomal RNA", at positions 328 to 539 of the family's 1533-position model. The record is from RNAcentral.